CCUACGGGAGGCUGCAGUAGGGAAUAUUGCUCAAUGGGGGAAACCCUGACGCAGCAACGCCGCGUGGAGGAUGAAGGUUUUCGGAUUGUAAACUCCUUUUGUUAGAGAAGAUAAUGACGGUAUCUAACGAAUAAGCACCGGCUAACUCCGUGCCAGCAGCCGCGGUAAUACGGAGGGUGCAAGCGUUACUCGGAAUCACUGGGCGUAAAGCGCGCGUAGGCGGGAUAGCAAGUCAGAUGUGAAAUCCUAUGGCUUAACCAUAGAACUGCAUGUGAAACUGUGAUUUGAGAGUAUGGGAGAGGUAGGUGGAAUUCUUGGUGUAGGGGUAAAAUCCGUAGAGAUCAAGAGGAAUACUCAUUGCGAAGGCGACCUGCUAGAACAUAACUGACGCUGAUGCGCGAAAGCGUGGGGAGCAAACAGGAUUAGAUACCCGGGUAGUC
RNAcentral lists this ribosomal RNA (440 nucleotides) under uncultured bacterium. RNAcentral's name for it is "partial 16S ribosomal RNA". It matches the Rfam family "Bacterial small subunit ribosomal RNA", at positions 338 to 795 of the family's 1533-position model. The record is from RNAcentral.